This 572-nucleotide ribosomal RNA is filed under the name Hanseniaspora meyeri. RNAcentral describes it as "eukaryotic LSU rRNA". It matches the Rfam family "Eukaryotic large subunit ribosomal RNA", at positions 62 to 648 of the family's 3401-position model. Lineage: Eukaryota; Fungi; Ascomycota; Saccharomycetes; Saccharomycodales; Saccharomycodaceae. The record is from RNAcentral.
AAACCAACUGGGAUUACCUUAGUAACGGCGAGUGAAGCGGUAAAAGCUCAAAUUUGAAAUCUGGUACUUUUAGUGCCCGAGUUGUAAUUUGUAGAAUUUGUCUUUGAUUAGGUCCUUGUCUAUGUUCCUUGGAACAGGACGUCAUAGAGGGUGAGAAUCCCGUUUGGCGAGGAUACCUUUUCUCUGUAAGACUUUUUCGAAGAGUCGAGUUGUUUGGGAAUGCAGCUCAAAGUGGGUGGUAAAUUCCAUCUAAAGCUAAAUAUUGGCGAGAGACCGAUAGCGAACAAGUACAGUGAUGGAAAGAUGAAAAGAACUUUGAAAAGAGAGUGAAAAAGUACGUGAAAUUGUUGAAAGGGAAGGGCAUUUGAUCAGACAUGGUGUUUUUUGCAUGCACUCGCCUCUCGUGGGCUUGGGCCUCUCAAAAAUUUCACUGGGCCAACAUCAAUUCUGGCAGCAGGAUAAAUCAUUAAGAACGUAGCUACCUCGGUAGUGUUAUAGCUUUUUGGAAUACUGCUAGCUGGGAUUGAGGACUGCGCUUCGGCAAGGAUGUUGGCAUAAUGGUUAAAUGCCGC